GACGAACGCUGGCGGCGUGCUUAACACAUGCAAGUCGAACGGAAAGGCCCUGCUUUUGUGGGGUGCUCGAGUGGCGAACGGGUGAGUAACACGUGAGUAACCUGCCCUUGACUUUGGGAUAACUUCAGGAAACUGGGGCUGAUACCGGAUAGGAGCUCCUGCUGCAUGGUGGGGGUUGGAAAGUUUCGGCGGUUGGGGAUGGACUCGCGGCUUAUCAGCUUGUUGGUGGGGUAGUGGCUUACCAAGGCUUUGACGGGUAGCCGGCCUGAGAGGGUGACCGGCCACAUUGGGACUGAGAUACGGCCCAGACUGCUACGGGAGGCAGGAGUGGGGAAUAGUGCACAAUGGGCGGAAGCCUGAUGCAGCAACGCCGCGUGCGGGAUGACGGCCUUCGGGUUGGAAACCGCUUUCGCCUGUGACGAAGCGUGAGUGACGGUAAUGGGUAAAGAAGCACCGGCUAACUACGUG
This 468-nucleotide ribosomal RNA is filed under the name uncultured bacterium. RNAcentral's name for it is "partial 16S ribosomal RNA". It matches the Rfam family "Bacterial small subunit ribosomal RNA", at positions 28 to 507 of the family's 1533-position model. The record is from RNAcentral.